AUGGCUAAUACCGCAUAAUGCUUUUGUUUGUAAUGAACGGGAGCCAAAGAGGGGGACCUUCGGGCCUCUCGCGUCAAGAUAUGCCCAGGUGGGAUUAGCUAGUUGGUGAGGUAAUGGCUCACCAAGGCGACGAUCCCUAGCUGGUCUGAGAGGAUGAUCAGCCACACUGGAACUGAGACACGGUCCAGACUCCUACGGGAGGCAGCAGUGGGGAAUAUUGCACAAUGGGCGCAAGCCUGAUGCAGCCAUGCCGCGUGUAUGAAGAAGGCCUUCGGGUUGUAAAGUACUUUCAGCAGUGAGGAAGGUGGAUGUGUUAAUAGCGCAUUCAUUUGACGUUAGCUGCAGAAGAAGCACCGGCUAACUCCGUGCCAGCAGCCGCGGUAAUACGGAGGGUGCGAGCGUUAAUCGGAAUUACUGGGCGUAAAGCGCAUGCAGGUGGAUGAUUAAGUCAGAUGUGAAAGCCCGGGGCUCAACCUCGGAAUAGCAUUUGAAACUGGUCAUCUAGAGUACUGUAGAGGG
Molecule: ribosomal RNA, 519 nt
Filed under: Vibrio sp. 11Lg
Lineage: Bacteria; Pseudomonadati; Pseudomonadota; Gammaproteobacteria; Vibrionales; Vibrionaceae
Description: bacterial SSU rRNA
Rfam family: Bacterial small subunit ribosomal RNA
Source: RNAcentral